RNAcentral lists this transfer RNA (64 nucleotides) under Podarcis lilfordi (Lilford's wall lizard). RNAcentral describes it as "tRNA.Lys". The record is from RNAcentral. Lineage: Eukaryota; Metazoa; Chordata; Lepidosauria; Squamata; Lacertidae.
GAUAGCUCAGUCGGUAGAGCAUGAGACACUUAAUCUCAGGGUCAUAGGUUUGAGUCCCACGUCG